CAUAAUAUAGCUUCAAAUCCAUACUAAGCAAUUCCAUAACCUGAGAUCACAGCUUUUCACUAUGCGACAAAUCAACAAAUAUAAGCUUUGGCUCCAAAAUCCAAACGAGAAAACCAAGAAAUUGCGAACUAGAAGACGACAACACUGGAAACUUCAGGCUUCUGAACGCCUCAACCCGAACUCAGCCAUACUCCAUAUUCUGAAAUGGAAUCUAAACG
This 218-nucleotide long non-coding RNA is filed under the name Nicotiana benthamiana. Its description in RNAcentral is "long non-coding RNA (NBEN_LNC019598)". Lineage: Eukaryota; Viridiplantae; Streptophyta; Magnoliopsida; Solanales; Solanaceae. The record is from RNAcentral.